This 404-nucleotide ribosomal RNA is filed under the name Verrucomicrobiota bacterium. RNAcentral describes it as "Verrucomicrobia bacterium partial 16S ribosomal RNA". It matches the Rfam family "Bacterial small subunit ribosomal RNA", at positions 355 to 776 of the family's 1533-position model. The record is from RNAcentral. Lineage: Bacteria; Pseudomonadati; Verrucomicrobiota.
UGGGGAAUCUUGCACAAUGGGGGAAACCCUGAUGCAGCGACGCCGCGUGAGCGAUGAAGGCUUUCGAGUCGUAAAGCUCUGUCCUAUGGGAAGAUAAUGACGGUACCAUAGAAGAAAGCUCCGGCUAAUUACGUGCCAGCAGCCGCGGUAAUACGUAAGGGGCGAGCGUUGUCCGGAAUUAUUGGGCGUAAAGAGUGCGUAGGCGGCAAAUUAAGUCAGAUGUGAAAACUAAGGGCUCAACCCAUAGAUUGCAUCUGAAACUGAUAUGCUUGAGUCAAGGAGAGGAAAGUGGAAUUCCUAGUGUAGCGGUGGAAUGCGUAGAUAUUAGGAGGAAUACCGGUGGCGAAGGCGACUUUCUAGACUUGAACUGACGCUGAGGCACGAAAGCGUGGGGAGCAAACAGG